This 252-nucleotide ribosomal RNA is filed under the name uncultured Ruminococcus sp. Its description in RNAcentral is "partial 16S ribosomal RNA". It matches the Rfam family "Bacterial small subunit ribosomal RNA", at positions 524 to 776 of the family's 1533-position model. Lineage: Bacteria; Bacillati; Bacillota; Clostridia; Eubacteriales; Oscillospiraceae. The record is from RNAcentral.
UACGUAUGGGGCAAGCGUUAUCCGGAUUUACUGGGUGUAAAGGGAGCGUAGGCGGGGAUGCAAGUUGGGUGUUAAAUCUACCGGCUCAACUGGUAGUCGCACUCAAAACUGCAGCUCUUGAGUGAAGUAGAGGCAGGCGGAAUUCCUAGUGUAGCGGUGAAAUGCGUAGAUAUUAGGAGGAACACCAGUGGCGAAGGCGAUUUGCUGGGCCAUUACUGACGCUCAUGCACGAAAGCGUGGGGAGCAAAUAGG